UUUUCCAAGGAGGAUUUUAAUUAGGGGGUUGGAGGCCUUGGAACAGCCCUGGGAUUGUGCCUGGGGAAUGGGUUCUUUGGGGAGGAGGGACGGGAAGGUUGUGGGGGUUUUGUUGUUUUGUCUUCCCUUGGCUGUGAGUGACUUUCAGUGCCCUGUUUAGUCAGCUGUGGCUGAUUAUAUAAAGUAACCCCCUGGCUUUUCAUAUAACACAGAAAGCUUAUCACCUUUUCCAGCCACUACAACACUCAUUAAAGUCCCUGGAAAAACAACCACCUGCUUUUACUGCUGGAGAUCUGCUGUGUUUUGUGCCUGCUGGGAUGGGUGAAGCCCUGCGGUGCUGGGCAGUGUGUCCUCACUGCAGGGCCUCUCCAGGCUGCCUGGCUGAAGGAGAAAAAAAAAAAUCCUUAUUUUUAUUCCAGAUGGAUCCCUCUAGUUAUGUUUAAAUCUCCAGGUAAAACCAGUGCAAAAAAUGGAGCUGCCUGCACUGUGAAACCCACAGGAACUUCAUAUCUUUGAAACCUCUCCCACUCUGUCAGGCUUGGCUGAAGUUUACAUGUGGUUAUUAGAGCAGAGGACAGUUGUGCAGGGAAUGCCACAGCUUUGCCUGGCAAGAACCUCAACUGCAAAUUUUGCAGAAAUUGUGGUGAAUUUCCAUUGAGCUCAGCAGGAGCAGAUGCCCCCUAGGUCCUGCCUGCAAGGAGCAGGAUCAGCCAACAUUCUCCAUGCUGGACCUUCCUCCGUCCUGUGUCAUUUGGCCAAACAACAGAUUCUGGUGGAAUCUCCACUGCUGGUUACAAAAUACUCACAAUGGGCAUUGAAACACACUGAGUUUGCUAUUAUGUCUCUUCAUAACUUUUAUGUCUAGAAACCCCAGCUGUGAUCAGGGCCUUGUUGUGUGAGAUGUUAUGCAAAUACAUAUUUUGUACAAACAGGAUGAUGAAAUCACAUGGAAAACUUCAUAAUCAAAGCAGAAAAAGAGCAACAGGGGCAAGAAAAAGACCACAUGGAGUUGCUUCUUCAGAGUCAUGUGGUGAGCCACUGGCAAAGGCAGGAGCAGCAGUGGGUCUCCUGGGUUCCAGGCUGGUCCUUAUCUGCCAUGGCAUCCUGCCUCUUCCCAGCCACCCCACUGCUUUUCCAGUGCUCCUUUAAACUCUGCUGCAGAGCUGCAACAUGGAGGGGGUUCAGAUAAUUCAAUUUACCCCUGGUUUGUCAAUCUGCUCCUCUCCCCAGAGCCCUGUGGCUGCUCUGUGCUGCUGGGAACUGAGCUGGGCUUGUUUGGUUUCCAGAGAGGGGAUAGAGCAGAGCUGGGAUGCUGCAAUGAACCCUGGAGAUGCCAUCCCAAAACAACUCGUGGUCUCAUGCCAGGCUACCUGGCUUUAAAUUGUGUCCAACUGCUUGAGCCAGGCAACUAAAUACUUCUGAAGCUCAUUAAAUUAACCAGUUAGACCAAGGCAAUAUACAGGGUACACAGGCCAAAGAAAGCAUUGUGGGUGUGACCUUUUGAAGGAGAAUUAUAGUUGCUGCUGAUCAGGCUGUUACAGUAAAUGUAGUGUCAGUGUUUCCAUAUUGGUCUCUCUUUUUUUCCCUUUUAUUUUUUUUUCUUUUUUCCCUGUGUGAAAAGGUUUGCACCUCAUGAAAAGGUUUUCAUGUGCUGUGAAAUGCGAUGUGAAACCACUGGAUCUUUGUUACCCAAAGAACUUGAUCUUUGUGUUACCCAAAGAAUCUGUGCUGUUUCUAUAGGGAAGGAGCAGCCUUCAAAACUGGGAUUCGAACUGGAAUUUGAUGCCAGCCACCCAAAUGUUUGGGGGAAUUCAGCUCGCACUUGAUUCUCCCUGUUGUGAAAAGCAUUCCCUUUGGUUCAGCACUGGAGAGGUGACAAAUCCCAGGGUCAGGUAACCCUGUGUGCUUCACUCUGGGGACACAAACAGCUUUGCAGUGUUUGUGAUUUGUUUUGGGUGGGGUGGCUGGGAGGAGGGCAGGAUGCUGCUGCAUCCCCACAAAGGGCUCUGUUACUGGGCAGGCUCUGGCUCAGCCCACACAAACGUGCAGCACUUGAUUAAUCACCUUCAUUAUGGUCAUAUUCUCACCCAGCCGGGAGCAGGGCACUGUGCAGAACCAGCCUCCUUUUGUUUCCCCUGGAACUGCCAACCUGUUUCCCCAGGCCACACCUCCUUUCUAAUUU
Passer domesticus (house sparrow) is the source of this 2182-nucleotide long non-coding RNA. RefSeq lists it as uncharacterized. The record is from RefSeq and is a predicted model, not a curated record. The transcript has 4 exons. Lineage: Eukaryota; Metazoa; Chordata; Aves; Passeriformes; Passeridae.